Bactrocera dorsalis (oriental fruit fly) is the source of this 1602-nucleotide long non-coding RNA. RefSeq lists it as uncharacterized. Lineage: Eukaryota; Metazoa; Arthropoda; Insecta; Diptera; Tephritidae. The record is from RefSeq and is a predicted model, not a curated record. The transcript is spliced from 4 exons.
UAAGCGGCUAUAGUCGUUGAGCUCGUCACCUCUCGUCGUAGUGUUUUGGGUCGUUGCGUUAGUGCAUUAGCUGAUAUACAGUUAGUUUUCCUUUUUAGCGAACGAAAUUACGAGUCCCUUGUUUUCUGCUGUUCUAGCGUGGUAACGAACGUCUUGGCAGCUUCACAGAAUUUAGGACAGUUAGUUCUAUUCACGCCGCGCAGUAAAAGUGUUUGUGAGUGGGUGUCUGUGUGCGCGCGAGAUACAAUCGUAGCGCGUAUACUGAAUGUGAGCGCCAGCCAAAUGUAUUUCCGCUAGCGUUCGCAUUGGCAAAUUAUAUCAUAAAAUCAACAUUGUGCGGUCGUUUUGCCAUUGACAUAGGUCACGUCGCCAACGUGUGUGUACGUGCGCUGCGUUCGAGUUGCCAGCCGCUUCAGUGCUGUGUUCAGUGUGCGAACAGCAACGCCUUCGCUGUCUGUAUGUGUGUAUGUACUUACUUAUAGUGUACUUUAACAGUUUAACUGCAUAGCAGCAGCGCGCACACCAACACACAUUCACGUACACAUACAAGAGCACAUUUGUAGUGACGCCGCGGACUUUUGGUGUUGGCACGCGUGUUGUGCGCGCAGCGUAGUAAGCACGCACCGGCAGCGCUGCCGCGAGGCUCCCACAAAUAUACAACAACCAUAUAAUCGGGCACUGUGCUCACACACACAUACACAGGCGCCGCAUUAAGCACUUUAUGUGCGGUAAUUCGAAUAUAAAUUUGAUUUUCCUGCGAAUUGCAGCAACAAAGCAACAAAGAAAGCGAAUGUGAAAUUGCCAGCAGCAAUUUGUUGCUUGCGUGAGCGUAAUACAUAUAACAAGCACAACAACAACAACAACUAUAAAAACAAAAAGGACAACACUAGUGAGUACAAGCAACUGCUGCGAUAAAUAAAAUCCGCAUAUGCACAAUCAAAAAUUGCACCAACUCGUGCGUGUGUGUGUGUCGAAUUGUUGAACGCUGUCGUUUAUGCGGCGCGUUGAUUCUUAAACGCUUGCCUAUUCGUCGAAAGUGCAAAUACUAAAUUUUCGUGGUGUGCGCGUUAAACGGUAGCAAAUUACUAGAGUGAGGCGCGGACGACCAUUAUCAUUUGCUCACUUUGCUGCUAACGGUGCGCAUUUCAAGCAUUAAGUACACGCCCACAUACAUACAUACCUAGAUUUGUUUACUUACUUUUGAGCACAUUGUUGCCGGUAGUGUUUCGUGGCACUUGUGCGGUUCGUAAAAACAAAAGUUGUUGACAUUAAAAUUUCCGUAAAUGCGCGCUUAAUGCAGGUGCUCGUUUGAGUUGUGAGUGUUGCUGUUGCAAAGUAUCGUUGCAGAUGUGUGAUAAAUAAAACGAAAAUUUGUUUGUGUAAGCACUUGUGAGACUCUGGAGUGCUGUUGUUGAAAGGCAAUUUCGCAAACAAUCAGCUGUGGCAUUUUUAAAGUGAGUGAAAAGUUGGAAUUGAGACUAAAGAGUGCUUGCAAGUCCGAAUUGUGCAAAUCUUUAAAUAUUAUAUCUGUUGUAUAAAGAAACGAAUUUAGGAAGAAUUAAAAGAGAAAUCUGCACGGACUGCAAUUUUGUGUAGCCUUUG